Molecule: ribosomal RNA, 427 nt
Filed under: uncultured bacterium
Lineage: Bacteria
Description: partial 16S ribosomal RNA
Rfam family: Bacterial small subunit ribosomal RNA
Source: RNAcentral
UGGGGAAUAUUGGACAAUGGGCGAAAGCCUGAUCCAGCCAUGCCGCGUGUGUGAAGAAGGUCUUCGGAUUGUAAAGCACUUUAAGUUGGGAGGAAGGGCAUUAACCUAAUACGUUAGUGUUUUGACGUUACCGACAGAAUAAGCACCGGCUAACUCUGUGCCAGCAGCCGCGGUAAUACAGAGGGUGCAAGCGUUAAUCGGAAUUACUGGGCGUAAAGCGCGCGUAGGUGGUUUGUUAAGUUGGAUGUGAAAUCCCCGGGCUCAACCUGGGAACUGCAUUCAAAACUGACUGACUUGAGUAUGGUAGAGGGUGGUGGAAUUUCCUGUGUAGCGGUGAAAUGCGUAGAUAUAGGAAGGAACACCAGUGGCGAAGGCGACCACCUGGACUAAUACUGACACUGAGGUGCGAAAGCGUGGGGAGCAAACA